This 837-nucleotide ribosomal RNA is filed under the name uncultured marine microorganism. RNAcentral describes it as "bacterial SSU rRNA". It matches the Rfam family "Bacterial small subunit ribosomal RNA", at positions 8 to 889 of the family's 1533-position model. The record is from RNAcentral.
AGAGUUUGAUCAUGGCUCAGGAUGAACGCUGGCGGUAUGCCUAACACAUGCAAGUCGAACGAUGUCUUCGGACAUAGUGGCGGACGGGUGAGUAACGCGUGAGAAUCUGCCUCUAGGAUGGGGAUAACGGUUGGAAACGACCGCUAACACCCAAUAUGCCGUAAGGUGAAAAAUUUAUUGCCUGGAGAGGAGCUCGCGUCUGAUUAGCUAGUUGGUGGGGUAAGAGCUCACCAAGGCCUCGAUCAGUAGCUGGUCUGAGAGGAUGAGCAGCCACACUGGGACUGAGACACGGCCCAGACUCCUACGGGAGGCAGCAGUGGGGAAUUUUCCGCAAUGGGCGAAAGCCUGACGGAGCAAUACCGCGUGAGGGAGGAAUGCCUUUGGGUUGUAAACCUCUUUUCUCAGGGAAGAAGAUCUGACGGUACCUGAGGAAUAAGUAUCGGCUAACUCCGUGCCAGCAGCCGCGGUAAUACGGAGGAUGCAAGCGUUAUCCGGAAUCAUUGGGCGUAAAGCGUCCGCAGGUGGUUUCCAAAGUCUGCUGUUAAAGACUGGAGCUCAACUCCGGAACGGCGGUGGAAACUUGGAAACUAGAGUUCGGUAGGGGUAGCAGGAAUUCCCAGUGUAGCGGUGAAAUGCGUAGAUAUUGGGAAGAACAUCGGUGGCGAAGGCGUGCUACUGGACCGUAACUGACACUCAGGGACGAAAGCUAGGGGAGCGAAAGGGAUUAGAUACCCCUGUAGUCCUAGCUGUAAACGAUGGAAACUAGGUGUGGCUUGUAUCGACCCGAGCCGUGCCGUANCUNACGCGUUAAGUUUCCCGCCUGGGGAGUACGCACGC